UGUUAAGGGAAGCCAAAAGAAAAACCCAAAAUGCAUACAUGAACAAAAUCCUUCAAAAUAUUUUCUGAAAAAUUCUCCAACACUUAAUAUAAAUCCAAAUAAAGUCCAAAAAUUCAAAUUUAAUUUCCAGAGAUUCCAAUCUUCACAAGUUGAGUCCACAAAUUUUCUUUUUCACACAAAUCGCUCCAACUAAAAAUACAAAUUUUUCUAGGGGCUCAUAGAGGGAUCCCUUAAAUAAAUUUACAGAGAGCUUCCAUUGAGGGAUCCAACACCCCUGUAGGGC
This 283-nucleotide long non-coding RNA is filed under the name Prunus persica (peach). RNAcentral's name for it is "long non-coding RNA (PPER_LNC002378)". Lineage: Eukaryota; Viridiplantae; Streptophyta; Magnoliopsida; Rosales; Rosaceae. The record is from RNAcentral.